Molecule: long non-coding RNA, 1056 nt
Filed under: Nicotiana benthamiana
Lineage: Eukaryota; Viridiplantae; Streptophyta; Magnoliopsida; Solanales; Solanaceae
Description: long non-coding RNA (NBEN_LNC015381)
Source: RNAcentral
CAUUUACAAAAUUGGGUGCUAUGUAUCACACUCAUUCCCACUAAUCUGACAUCCCCUUUCUUCUUCUCCAAUCAUAAACCCCAUCUCUGGACAAAUUACAGAACAGUAAUGGACCAAAUUUACACUAGUAAAUUUCAAUUUCAGCUUCCUGCAACCAAGCCAUAAUAGAUUUCGAAAUCAUAAUCGCAUCACUGUCAACAAGUUCACCUUUCGCACCUUCAUCUUCUGGAUUCGCAUUUACAGAUCUAGAGCCAUUCACCACCACAAGCUUAACCUCAAACACCUGAGUAAAGAGUUUGUUCAUCUGCGCAGAUGCUGCUGCCUCAAACACUUCCUUUAGUUCACUUUUGACCGAGUGAAGCUCUGACUACGUAAUCGCUGUCAAAUCUGACUGUGGAGGUGUUCUAGCAGUAAUCAACUGAUAAAAUCAAUCGCUCGAUGAGUUGGGCUCCUUAUGGUUCGAGGAACAAGAAGCGGCAGCGAUGACGAUGGUUAUACCAUUGAUAAAAACAAAGAGAUACAAAGGUUUAAGCCAAGAUAUAAUGACACUCCAAAUGGUUGGGAAUUCAUGAAAACCCUGUGGAAUUGACGCUUUUAAUACCAUUGCUAAGGAAAAUGCCCCAAUUGAUAUUAGCACAACCUUUAGUGAUAGAAUUAAACUUUUUGUCGAUGAUGCAAUUUUAAUUUCUCCGAUAACUUUAACAAAUUUAUCUGUUUUUUCGGCUAGUGCUUUGAAUUUUCCGGUGAGUUAUUUAAUUGAGCUGUAAAGUAAUUUAAUAAAGGCACAAUGUUUACAUAUAAAAUCAAGCUUUGAAGGAAAAGAAAAUUUUAGGGCAGAAACUCAUAUGAGAUUUUCAGAUGACCAAGAUCCUAAUUUGGAGAAGAAGACCGAAAAUCAGUGGGUUUAAUAUAGUUUUAUGACCCAUGUAACAAAUUUAGGGUCGGUUCAAGUAAGUGGGUCGAAAUAAAUUAUUUUGGCCCAAACUGCCACAUGGUCCAGUAAAAAAAUUCCAUGUCAUUAAGUCAAGGCCUAUAGGUUCUUCCGUUAAACUUGGG